RNAcentral lists this ribosomal RNA (468 nucleotides) under uncultured bacterium. RNAcentral's name for it is "partial 16S ribosomal RNA". It matches the Rfam family "Bacterial small subunit ribosomal RNA", at positions 28 to 507 of the family's 1533-position model. The record is from RNAcentral.
GACGAACGCUGGCGGCGUGCUUAACACAUGCAAGUCGAACGGACAGGCCCUGCUUUUGUUGGUUGCUCGUUUGGCGAACGCGUGUGUAACACGUGUGUAUCCUGCCCUUGUCUUUCUGAUAUCUUCUCGAAACUCGGGCUCUUACCGGAUAGGAUCUCCUGCUCCAUGGUGGUCGUUGGUAAGUUUCGGCGGUUGGGGAUGGACUCGCUGCUUAUCCGCUUGUUGGUGGGGUAGUGGCUUACCAAGGGUUUGACGGGUAGCCGGCCUGAGAGGGGGAACGGCGACAAGGGGACUGAGAGACGGAGCAGACGGCAACGGGAGGCAGCAGGGGGGAAUAUGGCAGAAUGGGGGGAAGCCAGAUGCAGAAACGCCGCGAGCGGGAAGACGGGCUACGGGGGGAAAACAGAUGUGGAAGGAGACGAAGCGGGAGUGACGGUAAUGGGUAAAGAAGCAACGGCUAACUACGUG